Molecule: ribosomal RNA, 525 nt
Filed under: uncultured bacterium
Lineage: Bacteria
Description: bacterial SSU rRNA
Rfam family: Bacterial small subunit ribosomal RNA
Source: RNAcentral
ACAUCCAGAGAAUUUAGCAGAGAUGCUUUAGUGCCUUCGGGAACUCUGAGACAGGUGCUGCAUGGCUGUCGUCAGCUCGUGUUGUGAAAUGUUGGGUUAAGUCCCGNAACGAGCGCAACCCCUAUCCUUUGUUGCCAGCGAUUCGGUCGGGAACUCAAAGGAGACUGCCGGUGAUAAACCGGAGGAAGGUGGGGAUGACGUCAAGUCAUCAUGGCCCUUACGAGUAGGGCUACACACGUGCUACAAUGGCGCAUACAAAGAGAAGCGACCUCGCGAGAGCAAGCGGACCUCAUAAAGUGCGUCGUAGUCCGGAUUGGAGUCUGCAACUCGACUCCAUGAAGUCGGAAUCGCUAGUAAUCGUAGAUCAGAAUGCUACGGUGAAUACGUUCCCGGGCCUUGUACACACCGCCCGUCACACCAUGGGAGUGGGUUGCAAAAGAAGUAGAUAGCUUAACCUUCGGGAGGGCGUUUACCACUUUGUGAUUCACGACUGGGGUGAAGUCGUAACAAGGUAAGCGUAGCGAG